Molecule: long non-coding RNA, 4576 nt
Filed under: Homo sapiens (human)
Lineage: Eukaryota; Metazoa; Chordata; Mammalia; Primates; Hominidae
Description: HSALNT0232110
Source: RNAcentral
CAUUUUCUUAACAAACUAUGCUGACAUAGUAAAGAUAGUCAGAAUCCAAUGGCUUUUAAAGAGAGCCAGAAUCCAAUGGCUUUGGGUAUCUAGGGUUAAGAAGAGUUUGCUUUGACUCAUCUUGUCCAUAUUUACUCUUACAGCAGUUAUAUACAUUGUCUUCCCUGAAUUUUGGUCCUCUGGAAUUCAGGGUAACCUGUCUAUACCUGCUAAUAUCUGCUCAAAGCGUUACAAUAGGAAUUUCCUGACUAAUUCUUAAGAGAGGUUUGGAUGAUUAAGCAGUGUGAUAGAGGAUUAGGAUAAUGUUAGAAAGCCCUAUAAGGAUAUUUCUAAAAUAAUCAGGGAUGCUGAAAGACAAGGCAUUUAUCUCUUUAACAAUUCCACCCACUCUUAAUAAGAUGCAGUGUAAUGUCACAAUGGUGAAAGCCUACCCCCUUAAGAAAGUGUUUUCUUUUCAACAUCCUCUCCAGGGUUACAGCCUUCCAGCGGGAAGAGGACUGUGGUACAUAGGCUUUUUAGAAUGGCAAGUGAAAUUGCAUGUGUUGUGGAGCAUUGCGGGGGAGGAAGGGUGAGGAAUUAUCUGAUAGGGCAGGAGUAUAAUUGGAGAAGGAGUUGGGGGGAGGGAGAGAAGAUUGCAUUCAGAAUAACCUUGGCUGACUAAUGCAAAAAGUAGAAUGAGGCAGGAUGUCUCUAGCCUGGGUCUCGGUGACAGGCAGGCAGUUUUGCAGGGGAGUCUACUGUAGAGAGUGAAUGAGAUGGAGAGGGACUCCAUGUAGUAAAAUACACUUUUAUUUUUUCACUAUGGCUGGAAUGUUUGUCGUAAUUUUGACCAAGGGACACAGUAAACCAAGUGCCCAGCUAGUUGCAGAGUGGGGAAUCAGAUGGUUCAUAGGAAACAGAGCUCAAGAAGAGGGAGACAGUGUUAGGAAGUCUCCAGCUUCUCUGGUUGGAGCAGGAGAUGACAGAAUGGAACAUAACUAUUAUUUGCUGCGUUAAAAUGCAAUCUUUCGUCGUUUUCAUUCAUCAAGAUAGAAUUAAAAAUUAAAACAAACUAAAAACAAAAUGUAUUUACCAUAUUAUGAUUACUGGUAACCUUUAGAUUUAUUGGAUUGCUUGUAAUGUGAUAUCUAUGGUGCCAGGUAUUAUCAUUUAAAAUAAAAUCUCAAGAAUAUGACAUAUGAAAAAUGACAACUCAAAUUACCAUGUAAUAUUUUUCCAGAAAUGAAGGGUCCCUUUCCUGUGUUUCAUUAGGAUGAAGAUAUCUGAAACCAUGCCCUUUAUUUGGGGUAUGGGGCAAGGGUAAGUAAUAUGUAACAACUCUGGCAUUAAGCUUAAGAAACUUAAAUUUUAUUUUGGAUUCCAAUAUUGAAGCGUAAGUCAUAAGAAUUAAAACAUUAAGAGAGAAGUUUUGGGGCUGGGCAUGGUGGCUCACACCUGUAAUCCUAGCACUUUGGGAGGCAGAGGUGGGCGGAUCACAGGUCAGGAGACCGAGACCAUCCUGGCUAACAAGGUGAAACCCCGUCUCUACUAAAAAUACAAAAAUUAGCCGGGCGUAGUGGCGGGCGCCUGUAGUCCCAGCUACUCGGGAGGAUGAGGCAGGAGAAUGGCGUGAACCUGGAAGGCGGAACUUGCAGUGAGCCACUCCAGCCUGGGCAACAAAGUGAGACUCCGUCUCAAAAAAAAAAAAAAUAAAAUAAAAAAGAAGAAGUUUUGAGAAGUUUGUAAAUGUUUAAGUAAAUUUAGGACAGCUUUUUUGUUUAUGAAUUUGCUUUAAACCAUUCUCUUACUAAGAUUAUGAGAAGUUAUUAUGGUGCUCUCAUUAAACCAAUGUGAGCAAUUCUGGAGAUUCCUUUAGACGAGUGGUUUUCAACCUGCAAUCCGUGGACGAGCUCCUGCCUCAAUAUUUUCUGGAAAUUUGUUAGAAAUGCAAAUUCUUUGACCCUGAAUCUGAGUGGGGCUCAGAAAUCUGGGUUUUAACAAAUGUGCUAGGAGAUUCUGUUACCUGCUAACAUCUGAGAACACUGCUUUAGGCAAUUUCUUUCUCUUGUGACAUGUAUAAAGAUGAGAAGGAAAAAAAUAAAAUAGUGUAUUGUGUUAAUAUUUACUGUUUUUGUCCCAGAAUAUUCUGUUUUAAGACAAAAUACUAUCUUAAAAAACAAGAUUUGAAAAGAAGAAUAAAAAUGUAAGCACACUAAAUUUAUCGUCUGAGUACCUCACUAAUGUUUAGUAUGGGAUUUGAAAAACUAAAUUGAUUUCUUUAGAAGUAGUUAUGAAUUCUUGACAUAAAAUCAUCAUUGAGCUUGCUAUUCAGAGUUGUGAUGCUCUACAUUUCUUGGCUUGCUGGUUUUAGCUGUCCCUGAAAUUAGGCCUGCAUCUCUGAAUAUUGACUAUAAUUACUAAUCUUGAGUUUGUCAUUAUACUUUCAGUAAAUGGAGGUGUAAACACUUUCUGAAAACCACAUCUGUGCUGAGAGCAUUUUGGAGAAGGUUUUCAAAAUGGCAUUAUCUUCCAUCUUCCCAGGAGAAUAGCAACUAGAUUAAGAUUCUAGACCACUCUUGUUUAACUUAGGAGAAAAAAGGAGGAAAAAAUUAAAAAUAGUUCCCAAUGUGUUCCAAGUAAAAAGAAGAAAGAAGAAAAAAGAGUAAGAAUAAAAAAAGAAGAAAGAGGAGUAAAAAAGGUACCCCACUCCCUAAAAUACUACUACUUUGGUAUAACAGAGUGUAUUUCAUACUAAAAUAUAAUAAUUACAUUUAAUUAAUUUUAAGUUUGGCUUAGAAGAUUACCAUUAUUUGAUAUUUGCACACUUAUACUAAUGUGCCAUUGCAGAUAUAUAGGGGAAUACAGAUGUAUGGAGGAGGGGAGGUGAAGGGAAAACAAUUAUCUUAAUAUGUGCAAAAUGGAAUUUAUAGUUGUGAUUAGUUAUCAAGAUGCUUAUUAGAGAGAAGACCACAUGUAUAUGCAGCGGACAAAUGUUACAAGAUAUUGAAGGGAAAUUAAUUAUUGAGAAUGUGAACAGGCUUCUUUUAUUAGUCAAAGCUGGAUAAUACUAAGGAUUUUUGUUUGUUCUUUUGCUAAAGAUGCUGCCAUGUGGAAAUCAGGGCACUGCUUUUAGGUUGCCGUCUCCCGCCUGCAUAGGCAACUAGUCCUGUUAGAAUGGAUGCCGAAGCUUUUUUUCUUCUACCUCAAGUGCCCUCUAGCGUGCAAUAUCUGUGCAUGUUGCUAUGUACAAGGAGGAGGAAAGAAGAAAGAAAGAGAAAUAUUCUACCAAUUGCUAUCCUAAUUCCUGAAUUGCUCUGCUCUUCUUUUCUCCUUCCUCAAAGGGGUCAUUUCCACCUAAGUGUUUAGCAAAACAAAAAAGGUGCUGUUGCUUUUGCAUGAAAAACUAAUCACUCAUUCUCUAAACUGAGAAACAAAUGCUAAUCCUUUCUCAGGGGUUUCUUUUGAACAUUCAUCAUAAUUUUCCAGAAGUUUCAUACACUCUAGUAAUCAGGCAAAUAAAAGAAGGUAAGUUGCUCCCUAGGAAGAAAUUCUGUUUUGUUCCUCACUCCACCACGGACCAGCUAUAAGGCUUUUGAUGCAAAGUGAUUAAACUUUCAAUGGAUUUUAAGUUUGUGUCUCCAUAAGAGUGCAUAAUACUUCUUUCCAUCCUCAGGGGGGUGGUGUGAGGUCUAACUGAGGUUUAUAAAACAAUUUCAGUUCCUUAGAUACAAUUCGAUACACAUUUGAACUUGACUUUCAUCUUGCAACUACUAACGGGGUUUCAAAUUCUCUUUGGUAGUCCAUAGGGAAACUGUGAUCAGGAUCUGUAUUUUCAUAAACAUGUCGUUAAAACAGCUGUAUUGUAAAUAGUGGAUUUACUUAAGAGAUUUGGAAUGGUAGAAAAUGGAAAAGGAUAUUUGCAGAAGAAAAAUACACUUGUUUUUGCAAACAUGUCUGUGUAUGGAUAAAUAUAGUUAAAUAGUAAGGCAAAAUUUCUGCAAGACAUACAUUUGGGCAUAUCUUCCUAAAUUUUAAAACAAACUAACAAUAACAGAAGGUAUUUUUACUCACCCAGAUGCCACCCGCUAAACUCUUAGUCUCUGAGAAAGGAGAUACCUGUAAACAAAUUUAUGUAUUGGCAUCUGUUCAGAUGGUAAGAUAUCUAGACACCUGUUAUAUAACUUGGAGAUUACUAUUAUAGUGAUGUGAUUAUUAUGCAGCAUUGUGUUUUAUUAAUAUCCUCAUAGCUACAAUACUUUGAAGGGCAAGAAAGGAGAAAGGCAAGCUAACAUGACAUAUUUCAUUACUUUCUUCUCAUGCAGUAUCUCUUUAAUUAUUAAAGCACUAUAGAUGGUGGCUAUCGUUUGUAUCCUUUAAAAUAGGAGAAAACUGAGGCUCAGAGAAGUUAAGUGAUUUGUUCAAGGUUACACAGUUAAUAAGUCAAAGAGUAUAAUUUAAACCCAUGUUUUCCAACUUCAAUUGUUGUCCAGCACUGCCUCUCAAUAUUAAACUACUAAUAAGUGACUAUUAUAACCUACUUUUAAAUAAUGCAAUACCUCACUAUAGAAUGGAUUCAUAAGUUGCAAUGAAAAAGAAG